RNAcentral lists this ribosomal RNA (270 nucleotides) under uncultured archaeon. RNAcentral describes it as "partial 16S ribosomal RNA". It matches the Rfam family "Archaeal small subunit ribosomal RNA", at positions 477 to 747 of the family's 1478-position model. The record is from RNAcentral.
CAGCACCUCAAGUGGUCAGGAUGAUUAUUGGGCCUAAAACAUCCGUAGCCGGCGCUGUAAGUUUUCGGUUAAAUCUGUACGCUCAACGUACAGGCUGCCGGGAAUACUGCAGCGCUAGGGAGUGGGAGAGGUAGACGGUACUCGGUAGGAAGGGGUAAAAUCCUUUGAUCUAUUGAUGACCACCUGUGGCGAAGGCGGUCUACCAGAACACGUCCGACGGUGAGGGAUGAAAGCUGGGGGAGCAAACCGGAUUAGAGACCCGCGUAGUCC